UACGAAGGGGGCUAGCGUUGCUCGGAAUCACUGGGCGUAAAGGGGUGCGUAGGCGGGUCUUUAAGUCAGGGGUGAAAUCCUGGAGCUCAACUCCAGAACUGCCUUUGAUACUGAAGAUCUUGAGUUCGGGAGAGGUGAGUGGAACUGCGAGUGUAGAGGUGAAAUUCGUAGAUAUUCGCAAGAACACCAGUGGCGAAGGCGGCUCACUGGCCCGAUACUGACGCUGAGGCACGAAAGCGUGGGGAGCAAACAGGG
RNAcentral lists this ribosomal RNA (255 nucleotides) under uncultured bacterium. RNAcentral's name for it is "partial 16S ribosomal RNA". It matches the Rfam family "Bacterial small subunit ribosomal RNA", at positions 524 to 777 of the family's 1533-position model. The record is from RNAcentral.